RNAcentral lists this ribosomal RNA (357 nucleotides) under uncultured bacterium. RNAcentral describes it as "bacterial SSU rRNA". It matches the Rfam family "Bacterial small subunit ribosomal RNA", at positions 8 to 353 of the family's 1533-position model. The record is from RNAcentral.
AGAGUUGAUCCUGGCUCAGGACGAACGCUGGCGGCGUGCUUAACACAUGCAAGUCGAACGGUGAAGGGAUCAGGCUUGCUGGUUCUGGAUGAGUGGCGAACGGGUGAGUAACACGUGAGUAACCUGCCCCUUCUUCUGGAUAACCGCAGUGAAAGUGUGGCUAAUACGGGAUAUUCUGCGCCUGCUGCAUGGUGGGUGUGGGAAAGAUAUUGUUUCGGUGGGGGAUGGGCUCGCGGGCCUAUCAGCUUGUUGGUGGGGUGAUGGGCCUACCAAGGCGGUGACGGGUAGCCGGCCUGGAGAGGGUGGACGGUCACCACUGGGACUGAGACACGGCCCAGACUCCUACGGGAGGCAGCA